GCGGAUGCUUACCAUGCAAGUCGGACGGGCGUGGGGGCUUCGGCCUUUGCGUCAGUGGCGGACGGGUGAGUAACGCGUAGGGAUCUGUCUUUGGGUGGGGGAUAACCGUGGGAAACUACGGCUAAGACCGCAUGAAGCCUGAGGGCCAAAGCCUCUCGUGAGGGGGGUGCCUGGAGAGGAGCCUGCGUCCGAUUAGCUGGUUGGUGGGGUAACGGCCUACCAAGGCGAUGAUCGGUAGCUGGUCUGAGAGGAUGGCCAGCCACACUGGGACUGAGACACGGCCCAGACUCCUACGGGAGGCAGCAGUGGGGAAUAUUGGGCAAUGGGCGCAAGCCUGACCCAGCAAUGCCGCGUGGGUGAAGAAGGUCUUCGGAUUGUAAAGCCCUUUCGGCGGGGACGAUGAUGACGGUACCCGCAGAAGAAGCCCCGGCUAACUUCGUGCCAGCAGCCGCGGUAAU
RNAcentral lists this ribosomal RNA (458 nucleotides) under uncultured bacterium. RNAcentral describes it as "bacterial SSU rRNA". It matches the Rfam family "Bacterial small subunit ribosomal RNA", at positions 39 to 524 of the family's 1533-position model. The record is from RNAcentral.